RNAcentral lists this ribosomal RNA (484 nucleotides) under uncultured bacterium. Its description in RNAcentral is "partial 16S ribosomal RNA". It matches the Rfam family "Bacterial small subunit ribosomal RNA", at positions 29 to 507 of the family's 1533-position model. The record is from RNAcentral.
CUUUAACUCUGGCGGCAUGCUUUACACAUGCAAGUCGAACGGCAGCGCGGGCUUCGGCCUGGCGGCGAGUGGCGAACGGGUGAGUAAUGCAUCGGAACGUGCCCAGUAGUGGGGGAUAGCCCGGCGAAAGCCGGAUUAAUACCGCAUACGACCUGAGGGUGAAAGCGGGGGACCGAAAGGCCUCGCGCUAUUGGAGCGGCCGAUGUCGGAUUAGCUAGUUGGUGGGGUAAAGGCUUACCAAGGCGACGAUCCGUAGCUGGUCUGAGAGGACGACCAGCCACACUGGGACUGAGACACGGCCCAGACUCCUACGGGAGGCAGCAGUGGGGAAUUUUGGACAAUGGGGGCAACCCUGAUCCAGCCAUGCCGCGUGCGGGAAGAAGGCCUUCGGGUUGUAAACCGCUUUUGUUCGGGAAGAAAUCCUCUGGGCCAAUACCCCGGGGGGAUGACGGUACCGGAAGAAUAAGCACCGGCUAACUACGUG